Molecule: non-coding RNA, 73 nt
Organism: Podarcis lilfordi (Lilford's wall lizard)
Lineage: Eukaryota; Metazoa; Chordata; Lepidosauria; Squamata; Lacertidae
Source: the annotation of a GenBank genome assembly
GCCAGAGUAGCUCAGUUGGUCCAGCAUGAGACUCUCAAUCUCAGGGUUGUGGGCUUGAGCACCACAUUGAGCA